RNAcentral lists this ribosomal RNA (870 nucleotides) under Ochrosporellus tricolor. RNAcentral's name for it is "partial large subunit ribosomal RNA". It matches the Rfam family "Eukaryotic large subunit ribosomal RNA", at positions 66 to 915 of the family's 3401-position model. Lineage: Eukaryota; Fungi; Basidiomycota; Agaricomycetes; Hymenochaetales; Hymenochaetaceae. The record is from RNAcentral.
UAACAGGAUUCCCCUAGUAACUGCGAGUGAAGCGGGAAGAGCUCAAAUUUAAAAUCUGGCGGUCUUCUGAUCGUCCGAGUUGUAGUCUAGAGAAGUGUUAUCCGCGUCGGACCGUGUACAAGUCUCCUGGAAUGGAGCGUCAUAGAGGGUGAGAAUCCCGUCCAUGACACGGACGCCCGAUGCUUUGCGAGGCACUCUCGAAGAGUCGAGUUGUUUGGGAAUGCAGCUCAAAAUGGGUGGUAAAUUCCAUCUAAAGCUAAAUAUUGGCGAGAGACCGAUAGCGAACAAGUACCGUGAGGGAAAGAUGAAAAGCACUUUGGAAAGAGAGUUAAACAGUACGUGAAAUUGUUGAAAGGGAAACGCUUGAAGUCAGUCGCGUCUUGUGGAACUCAGCCUGGCCUCGGCCUGGUGUACUUUCCAUUUGACGGGUCAACAUCAGUUUCGGCCGGUGGAAAAAGGUGAAGGGAAUGUAGCGCCGCUUCGGUGGCGUGUUAUAGCCCUUUGCUGUAUACACUGGCUGGGACUGAGGACUGCAGCACGCCCUUGUGGCCGGGGGUUCGCCCCACGUAACGUGCUUAGGAUGUUGGCAUAAUGGCUUUAAGCGACCCGUCUUGAAACACGGACCAAGGAGUCUAACAUGCUUGCGAGUGUUCGGGUGGAAAACUCUUGCGCGUAAUGAAAGUGAAAGUUGGGAGCCUCCGCAAGGGGGUGCACCGACGCCCGGCCCUGACGUUCUCUGACGGUGCUGCGGUAGAGCAAGUAUGUUGGGACCCGAAAGAUGGUGAACUAUGCCUGAAUAGGGCGAAGCCAGAGGAAACUCUGGUGGAGCUCGUAGCGAUUCUGACGUGCAAAUCGAUCGUCAAAUUUGGG